This 353-nucleotide unclassified non-coding RNA is filed under the name fungal sp. RNAcentral describes it as "partial internal transcribed spacer region". The stretch from base 1 to 46 matches the Rfam family "Eukaryotic small subunit ribosomal RNA", at positions 1786 to 1831 of the family's 1831-position model. The record is from RNAcentral. Lineage: Eukaryota; Fungi. RNAcentral also lists the same sequence under 1 other name.
AAGUCGUAACAAGGUUUCCGUAGGUGAACCUGCGGAAGGAUCAUUAACACGUAUCAGUACGUCACCAUGAACCAUACCACCCCAAACGUGUCCUGUAUGUGGAAUGGGUCUUCGGUCCUCCACCGCAUGCGCCUCUCGGCAUCGGUCGAAUCGGUGUCCUAGGACAUCCUCGACCAGUGUCCUCAACCUACCUCUUUUUUUUUCACCCCUUCUUUUUUGACUCACCCUUCACAACCCAACUGGUCUGAUCAUGUACGUGUCUAUAACUGCAAGGUUCUGGACCGCACCAUAUGAAUGUUGGAAACAACAUUUUCAAUGAAAUACAACUCUUAGCAAUGGAUAUCUUGGUUCUC